This 492-nucleotide ribosomal RNA is filed under the name uncultured bacterium. Its description in RNAcentral is "partial 16S ribosomal RNA". It matches the Rfam family "Bacterial small subunit ribosomal RNA", at positions 29 to 507 of the family's 1533-position model. The record is from RNAcentral.
AGUGAACGCUGGCGGUAGGCCUAACACAUGCAAGUCGGACGGCAGCACAGUAAGAGCUUGCUCUUACGGGUGGCGAGUGGCGGACGGGUGAGGAAUACAUCGGAAUCUACUUUUUCGUGGGGGAUAACGUAGGGAAACUUACGCUAAUACCGCAUACGACUUACGGGUGAAAGCAGGGGAUCUUCGGACCUUGCGCGAUUGAAUGAGCAGAUGUCGGAUUAGCUAGUUGGCGGGGUAAAGGCCCACCAAGGCGACGAUCCGUAGCUGGUCUGAGAGGAUGAUCAGCCACACUGGAACUGAGACACGGUCCAGACUCCUACGGGAGGCAGCAGUGGGGAAUAUUGGACAAUGGGCACAAUCCUGAUCCAGCCAUACCGCGUGGGUGAAGAAGGCCUUCGGGUUGUAAAGCCCUUUUGUUGGGAAAGAAAAGCAGCAGGUUAAUACCCCGCUGUUCUGACGGUACCCAAAGAAUAAGCACCGGCUAACUUCGUG